GGGUUCGAUGGUGGCAGGGGCGGGGGCGGGAUCAAGUGGUGGAAGUGGGGGACUAGGUGGGUGGGGAGGAGAGAAUAAAUUUGGAAUGUCACUUAUGCAACUUGUUUUUCAUACUUCCAUUAGGGAAGUCAUUUUCAAGGAAUUUAUUUCCUAGAGAAAAUGUUUUCCAAAUAUUUUGACCAAUCGAACAGGAAAAUUGGAAAACAUUUUCCUACAUACCAAACACAACAAAUUAUCUCUAAUCAUCAAAACACCUUCCUGCUCUAAAAUUGCUUCAUUAGCCUCUCCAUUCAAUACUUUGUCUCAACUAAUGCACAACUCCCAUCUUCAAAUUCUCAAGCCUUAUUCCACCGUACUGAAAAUGACUGAGUUUCAACACACGCAGGAGAUCUACCAGACUCUGAGAUAACAAGUCUCACAGGGCUAUUAGCCCCAAGUUUGAAAUCCAUAACAAUAUUUGCUCCUCUAUAUGUAAUCACAGCCAAACCACCAAGCUGACGGACUCACAACUCAUUCCAUCAGCUGCCAUGCUUCCAAUGUGCCACUCUGAUAGAACAACCUGCCCUAUAGUAGAAAAAACAAACUCUCUCAGUUUUCCUAGCAGAGGCACAAGUGGUAAUAGAAGACAAGAAGGAAACAACGGAACAAAAACUAAGCAAGAGAAAAACAAAGGAUCAGAUUAUACCAUUAAACAUAAAUGCCACAUGAUACUGCACUCUAGUAUAAACCCAUCCAGUUCUCCAACAUGAAUCAGCAGAUGCAUUGACAAGUUUUGUCAAACUAAAGCUAAGAUCACAAUAAAGCUGCAACAGGAGAACUAUUAGGUGCUAUAUUUAUUUGGCUAAAACAUUAACAGCAUGACCUGGAAAAAGAUCCUCUUCUCCUUAUUAGUAGUAGGAUAAAUCGCAUAGUUUUGUUAUUCUUCUAUGUGUUUCUACUAUCUGUUGCUUCAUUUUUCUUUGUAUCUUGAUAUUUUGUUGUCAUUUUUUUCUUUCUCACAACCCUUUUCUCUGAAUAACUUCCCUUUUGAGUCAAGAGUCUAUCGUAAACAACCUCUCUACCCCACAAAAGUAAGGGUAAGGUCUGCAUACAUCUAACUCUUCCUAGACCCCACUUAUGAGAUUACACUGGGAGAGUUGUUGUUGUUUGUUGCUUUAGAAGUUAAUCAAGGCCAAUUUUGUUAAAAGGGUUAUACAUGUGAUUGCCUGAACCAUUGCUCCUCGACAUCUUUUCUUGUUUCUUCUAGACAUUGCUGUCCUCAGUGCUAAGUCGUUAUGCAACUGUUUUUUCGAUUGAGUGAAAUAUGGAAAAGCCUAAAAUUUUUAGUUGAAUAUUUCCAUUUUGUUCUUUUCACAAUCCGAGUUAGUUUGUUGUUUUGAGUUUGCCUUUUGGUUUUUAUUUUGGGGUUUUGAACUUAUACUUUGUUGACAGUUGAAUUUCCUUACUGAAUUGUUACAGAGAACUGAAAAUUUCAAAGGGAAAAUAUAUCAGUUGUAAAAUUGUUAUAAUUAGAAUUUUUCCAGUAGUUAAUAACAAUCUUUGUUUGAAGAGAAGCAUAUCCUUAUUUGGUUAAGUCUACAAUGUUAAGUGUAGUAUAAAGAGAAUGUUUGAACAUAUCAAAAACCUAUCAAAGUUAAAUGAAUUAAAUAGUUGGUUUUAGUAGAAUUGGUAGCUGUUUUGAUUUUCUGAAAAUGUUCUUUGAGCAUAGGAUGAUAAUUUUGCAAAGACUACAAAUUUUAUUCAUAAGAAGUAUGGAAAUCUAAAGAAACGACAUAAUAGCUCUAUGGCACCAAUCUUAAUUCUAGUACAAUAUGCUAAUCACCCUCUCCGCUUUCUGGCACUGCUUUGAUGUCAUCAUCUUCUUCCUCCUUUCCCCCCCUUCAUGUGGAUUUCUCCCCCAACCAUAAUCAUCACAAUUAAUUCCAAGGUUCUCCGCAAGCUCUCUAAUUCCUUGAUUAUCAUUGAGAAAGUUUCUUGCUUUAUUCCGACAACAAUAUGGAUGUUGGAUAAUGAUCUAAUGUUUAUGGCAAAGGUGUCUCUGUCUUUCUGUUUAGUGUGUCUAAAGGAGAACCGUUGUCUGUUAAAGAAAUAAAGAGAUUAUUUCUACCACUAGCAAAAUAUUAGUGGUAGCAACAAUUUACUGUUUCCUUGUGCUCAUGUGAUGUUGGUUGUUUCAAUGUUCUUUUUGGGGUACCGUCAUUCUUUAGAGUGUCAUCUUUGAGGCUCUCCUUUAAAAGGUUUCAAAAAAAAAAUCGCUAGUGCCUACAGAUUUAGUGACUAAGAAGUGAACUUUUUCCUAAGAUUAAAAGAGGUGAAUAAUUCAGAGUCGUACCUCACUUUCAAGCAGCAGCAUAUGUAGCGCUAACAUAAUGUUGUAGAUACAAAGAAGAAUGUUCACUUGUGAAGAAAAAGAGAUUGUCACACUUCUGCCAACCUCAAACUUUGAUAUUCUUAAUCUUUUUAAGUCAUGGUACUAGCAUUAUGAACUCUUACGAAGCUGUACUUCUUGGUUUUCGUUUUUUUUUGUCUCACUAAAAGAGGAAAUAUCCCCUUUGCCCUGUCUCUUGGUGGAUCCUUUAUUUUGUUUUAGGAAAUGUCCUGAUUGAAAAUCCAAUGGACCAAUGGUACCCGUGUUCUUUAACAGUUUUGAUCCAUUGGAUUUAAUAGAUCAGGUGGUAUACAUACAACAGUCUUUGAUUCCUCAAGUUUAGAUGGAUAAGUUCUCUUAUGUGGACAAAUUUCAGUCUCCUAGGUUCCUAGUUCCUACACUUGUGAUUGGUGUAUUUCAGUGUUAAUGCAAACUACAUAUCACUUCAAGGGGAAUCUUCUUUUUGCUAGUGUUGAUGGUACUUGUUAGAAUGGAUGCGUCCACUGUCACUCAAGGACCAGGUCCCUGAACAGAAUAACAAUGUAAGGACAACUAAUGCACUAAAGUGCACACAAGAUUUUUACGUGGAAACCUCCUUGCUCAAGGGAGAAAAACCACGACCUGUCCCACAGGGUUUAGCAACCAACUUCACUAAAGAUGCAAGAGCAAAGUAGUCUAUUACAACCUAUUGUAACUAGACACUAACCCUCUCCACCUCUCAGCUUGCAAUACCUCUAUUACAAGACUUCGAGCCUAAGCAAUAUAACUAUAUUGCCCACUACCCCAACUAACUCUAGUUGACGUAGACUUUGAACACUCCGAUCAAGGCUAAUGACUCGAAAACUAAGCAAUAAGACUAUUGCCCACUACACAACCACCCCUAGGUUAAUGUAGACUUCAACUCACUGAUUCAAGGUCAACACUUAACCAAGAACCCAACACACUUACAAAAACAAACUGAUCAAUGUUCCUUUAUAGUGUAGGAACUGAUCUUGCAAUAUUUAGCACAUAAGAUACAACAUUACAACAAAACAACAAAGAAGGACUUUUCUUGAAUGACUCUAUCAGGUCCCUUGCUGCCUUGGUGAAGUUGUUCUUUCUUUAAGUGGCUUUUGCAUUGUGUAUGAACUUGAUUUGCAAAAAGCUUGGUGUUUUUUGUCACAAUGUUCUCUUCAUAAGAGAGACAAAAAACCUUGGAGCCAUGCCAUUGGUCGAGGUCUCUGCUGUUGCAGCGCCUCUGCUGCAGUGCUACCAACCACAGCAGCUUUACAGUUGGUCUCCAUUUGAUCUGUGAUGCACAUCAUUCAUGGGACCAGGUCCGCUGAUCAGGUCCCAUGGUUUGUCGAUACACAAAACGUGAAUGUGCACCUCUGCUGCAGUGUCCACCAACCUCUGCAGUUUUUAUAGCUUUACAACUGUACUCCACUUUCUUUCCCUUGACAGGCGUUAAUCAUGGGACCAGGUCCCUCUACCAGGUCCCAUAGUUUGUUAAAUCAUCAAAACACAAAUAUAACAUUUUCCCGCUUUUUGAUGAUGACAAACAAUGCGGACUUGUGUUCAUGUUUCUGCUAACCAGGUACCAAGUCCCAUAGUUUGUUAAAUCAUCAAAACACAAAUAUAACAGUACUGUGUUACAUCUUUUAGCUUCUCUGAUUCAGUCCUAGAUUUGUCCCGGCCAUUGUAGCAUGCGCAUUGCCCUAAAUUCCUACCUUACAUUUGAAAAGAGUUAGUUUAGACACAAACUUUUGUUGAAGUCUAAUGGCCUGUAUUUACUACACUUUAUGUCAUUUGGGGUGACUAAAGGAAUUCCUUCUGGCCAUGAUUACUGUCCACUUCUCUCCAUGUUGUCUUGAAAGAGCGAUACAAGCAUCGAAGGGAAGCCAAGAACGCCAGCCAAUUAUGGCUUCAAUCUUUUCAGUCAAGAAUCAUACCAAAUAUCAAGUAGUCUAAUUUUUAGAUAAUCCAAGAAUUGUAUGAAUGAUUUUCCUGCAAUAACUUCAUAUGUCAAUUACUUCUGCAUGGUGAUAAACCACAUGUUUGACUUCUACUUUCUACUUGCUUUGAUAGAUAUACACCUAUGUUAAAGAUGUAAAUAACAAUUUUCCACUAAUUAUAGUUAAUGUUGAUCUAUCACGUUUCAGUGUUAUCAUAAAGACUGGAUUUUCAGCUAUAAUCUCACUUAUUUCUUCACUGCAGGGCCAGAUGAGGUGAUGAAAUUUGAAGGUCUAAGGGAACUUGCUAAUGAGGCUGCUGUGAAUGUAUUACUAUAUAGCAUAUUUGGGUCAAUUCAUUUACUGUAUAAAUUUCACAUCUUCAAUGUCUCUACUUUCUAUAUAGCUGACUUAUUUCUCCUGUU
Solanum dulcamara is the source of this 4724-nucleotide long non-coding RNA. RefSeq lists it as uncharacterized. The record is from RefSeq and is a predicted model, not a curated record. The transcript has 2 exons. NCBI's taxonomy places the organism in Eukaryota, Viridiplantae, Streptophyta, Magnoliopsida, Solanales, Solanaceae.